This 72-nucleotide transfer RNA is filed under the name Pangasianodon hypophthalmus (striped catfish). Its description in RNAcentral is "tRNA-Glu". Lineage: Eukaryota; Metazoa; Chordata; Actinopteri; Siluriformes; Pangasiidae. The record is from RNAcentral.
UACUUGGAGGACUAGUGGUUAGGCCUUAGCACUCUCACCGCUGCCACCUAGGUUUGAUUCCUGGCCAGGGAA